RNAcentral lists this ribosomal RNA (694 nucleotides) under Tsukamurella sp. K366. RNAcentral's name for it is "bacterial SSU rRNA". It matches the Rfam family "Bacterial small subunit ribosomal RNA", at positions 58 to 755 of the family's 1533-position model. The record is from RNAcentral. Lineage: Bacteria; Bacillati; Actinomycetota; Actinomycetes; Mycobacteriales; Tsukamurellaceae.
CCUGCCUCAGGUAGUAGCACACCCUGGGGGUACACGAGUGCCGAACGGGUGAGUAACACGUGGGUGACCUGCCCUGUACUUCGGGAUAAGCCUGGGAAACUGGGUCUAAUACCGGAUAUGACCUUCCCCUGCAUGGGGGUUGGUGGAAAGCUUUUGCGGUACAGGAUGGGCCCGCGGCCUAUCAGCUUGUUGGUGGGGUAAUGGCCUACCAAGGCGACGACGGGUAGCCGGCCUGAGAGGGCGACCGGCCACACUGGGACUGAGACACGGCCCAGACUCCUACGGGAGGCAGCAGUGGGGAAUAUUGCACAAUGGGCGAAAGCCUGAUGCAGCGACGCCGCGUGAGGGAUGACGGCCUUCGGGUUGUAAACCUCUUUCAGUAGGGACGAAGCGCAAGUGACGGUACCUACAGAAGAAGCACCGGCCAACUACGUGCCAGCAGCCGCGGUAAUACGUAGGGUGCGAGCGUUGUCCGGAUUUACUGGGCGUAAAGAGCUCGUAGGCGGUUUGUCACGUCGUCUGUGAAAACCCGAGGCUUAACCUCGGAGCCUGCAUGCGCGAUACGGGCAGACUUGAGUACUGUAGGGGAGACUGGAAUUCCUGGUGUAGCGGUGGAAUGCGCAGAUAUCAGGAGGCACUCAUCGUUGCUGAAAUUGAGUGCCUGGCCGACAACGAUUUACCAUAACCCUGAGUA